AAACCGACACAGGUGGUCGGGUAGAGAAUACCAAGGCGCUUGAGAGAACUCGGCUGAAGGAACUAGGCAAAAUGGUACCGUAACUUCGGGAGAAGGUACGCUCCUGUUGGUGACGAGACUUGCUCUCAGAGCUGACGGGAGUCGCAGAUACCAGGUGGCUGCAACUGUUUAUCAAAAACACAGCACUGUGCAAAAUCGCAAGAUGACGUAUACGGUGUGACGCCUGCCCGGUGCCGGAAGG
RNAcentral lists this ribosomal RNA (241 nucleotides) under Shewanella algae. Its description in RNAcentral is "partial 23S ribosomal RNA". It matches the Rfam family "Bacterial large subunit ribosomal RNA", at positions 1651 to 1876 of the family's 2925-position model. The record is from RNAcentral. Lineage: Bacteria; Pseudomonadati; Pseudomonadota; Gammaproteobacteria; Alteromonadales; Shewanellaceae.